UGCCUACGGGGGGCAGCAGUGAGGAAUAUUGGUCAAUGGACGAGAGUCUGAACCAGCCAAGUAGCGUGAAGGAGGACUGCCCUAUGGGUUGUAAAAUUCUUUUAUAUGGGAAUAAAAUGUUCCACGUGUGGGAGUUUGUAUGUACCAUAUGAAUAAGGAUCGGCUAACUCCGUGCCAGCAGCCGCGGUAAUACGGAGGAUCCGCGCGUUAUCCGGAGUUAUUGGGUGUAAAGGGAGCGUAGGUGGAUUGUUAAGUCAGUUGUGAA
RNAcentral lists this ribosomal RNA (265 nucleotides) under uncultured bacterium. RNAcentral's name for it is "partial 16S ribosomal RNA". It matches the Rfam family "Bacterial small subunit ribosomal RNA", at positions 335 to 598 of the family's 1533-position model. The record is from RNAcentral.